CAAUUCCCUACAUUAGCAAAGUGCAUAUUCUUCAGCAUGACUAGUCAUAAAACAUAAAUCUGUUCUUUUUCCUUUAUUGAACUGUUAUACAUAUUCAGAACAAAGAUAAAGUGGGGUCAGAUUAGUUAAAAAUGGUGAUACGUAAUUAGCUACGUUGGUAGUUGCAGCACGGCUUCUUAAUUUAUUUUUGCUGUGGAUGUUCCAUUUACCGUGGAUUCCUUAAUGAGGUUCUCCUCCUUUGUUGGUACAUUGAAGAAAUAUAUUAUCUGAUUUUAAGAUUCAAUAAAAUAGUAUGAAAGGCUUUCCCAAAUUUUACGUGAUUGCAGCAGUUGAGUUUUUUUAGGGGCACUUUUUUAUUUGUUUCUUUAAUUUCAAGAGGACACAAACACUGCUCCUGAAGGCUAGUUCCUUUUGUCUCUGAGUAAUACACCUAGGAUUAAGUGAGCCCUGCCUGGGAAAUGGGCAAAGAAACUGGUCUAAGAAUAUAACUUUGAAAGUAGUUGAGUUCUAUUUUGAUGUGGGUCUGAUAUGCAAAAUAUGUUUCUCUUUCUAUUUGAGGAAAAUAGAGAUUUAGUAUUUCAGAGCAUCCUGAUUUUGUAUUAAUUUACAGCAUUUUCCCUCCAGAAAUUCAGUACCUGCUUGCAUCAUCCUUCUGAAAACAGUAACUCAAGAACACAUGGAUCCUGGGAACUGAAGACCUGACGGACCUUCUUGGGUUUGCUGGAGGAAUGAAAUGGCACUAUCAUUUCUGACCACCUGCUGGAUAUGACAGCACUUGAGUGGAUUGUAAAAGAGCUGAAAGCAAUCUUCAAUCUGCCAGUUCUGCAAUUUGCCUAGCUAAAUCCUCACUGAGAAAUGAGUAAAUGGGCAAGAGACUGAACCAGCACUUCACAAAAGAAGGCCAAGAAAGGAUCACAGUUCCUUUUUUUGGCAAAGGAGGGGAAAAUUGGGUAAAUUCUUUAUCUUUUGUGAAGAAACAUUAAAA
Molecule: long non-coding RNA, 985 nt
Filed under: Equus asinus (donkey)
Lineage: Eukaryota; Metazoa; Chordata; Mammalia; Perissodactyla; Equidae
Description: lncRNA (ENSEASG00005036440.1)
Source: RNAcentral